Molecule: long non-coding RNA, 1477 nt
Organism: Limulus polyphemus (Atlantic horseshoe crab)
Lineage: Eukaryota; Metazoa; Arthropoda; Merostomata; Xiphosura; Limulidae
Exons: 2
Source: RefSeq, a predicted model, not a curated record
GUGGGGAGCCUGUGGGUUGGUACUUACUGGAAAUGUUGUGGUAUUUUUGACAAUCUUGGGCUUCUUUUUGGCUUUUGAUAAUGACGAAGUCGACUACAGCAUGUGGUGAUUUAUUUAUUGCUUAGAGAGCGAACAGAUUUGUAGACUGGUUGACAUCAACCUCGUAUUAGUUGUCCAGGUUCUUGAACAUUUUGUAGAUUGGGAUACAACAAGUGAGAUGAAUACAUGGCUAUGUUUAUACUUCUGUACUUUCUGUGUAAAACAUGUCACGUAGAUGUCAAGAGGAAGUUCCAUUUACAUUCAUGUUUAAAUGUUAUAAAUGACUUUUGUUUCAAAUAACAGCUACUCUCAAGAAUUCAAGUCUUCACAAAGUUUUGUUGAUGUUUCAGAGCUCCUUUACAGAUGAGAAAUAUAAACAAAUAUGGGAGUUAUUUCUUCAGUGUUUUAGCUAGCAGAGGAUAAGAAUACCUUUAAAGUUUUUGUUUUCAUAUAUGAAUUACAUUUGAUUUUUCUACUUCUUAAUGAAACAAAAAGUUUAUGAAUCAAGUUGUGGUUUUGUGAAAGGAACAAAAAAUGCAACUGACCUGUGCAAAACAGUUGUUUGAAAGCGAGUGGAUAUAUAGGUGUGUUUGAAAGCGAGUGGAUAUACAGGUGUGUAUGAAAGUGAGUGGAUAUAUUGGUGUGUUUGAAAGGGAGUGGAUAUACAGGUGUGUUUGAAAGCGAGUGGAUAUACAGGUGUGUAUGAAAGCGAGUGGAUAUACAGGUGUGUAUGAAAGUGAGUGGAUAUACAGGUCUGGUAUGUUUCACAGGGGAAAAAUUUAAUACUAUAUAUCAGCAUAAGGAACAAUACAAGCUAGACGUUAGUUGUCCUGUACAGAUAGUACCAGUAAGUCCUAAGAAGACAUGAUUUAUUCAGCUAGUAACCGUUUCACACUCUUCAAUAUAAAUGUAGUUUCUUCAAAAUAUGUCAUGUGUUUAUAUUAAUUCAUUUAGAACUACUAAUGUAAUGAAUUUAAGGUUUUAUUUUGUUUAGAUGUCGUAUUUAUACACUAAGCCUGGCACUGUUCAAAUAUUAGGGGUGGUGGGGAUGUACAAGUGGAACUAAAGCUACUGGUAUACAUCCCUCCCCCCCUCCCAAAAGAAAUGUACUGAGAUAAAGACUUAGCAGAAGAAUGAAAUGGAUACUUGUUUAAUGAUGGUGUGUUUUUAUUCACGAGAAUCUAAUGUUAAUUAAAGUAAAUUGAUAGAACAAAACCUAGUGAAGUUUUGGUGGUGGUAAAAUUUCAUUAAUUACUGCUGAGAACAUUUGAGAUGUAGGUAGCUUGGUGGUGUAGAAAGACCUGAACUUGUAAAUAACGACCCCUGAAUGUGUUCUUUAAUCAUUCUAAAGAAUGUCAUUAUGUACAAGUUUGUGAUGUAAAUAUAUUUUUUUUAAGUACCAUUUUUUUGUUAAAUCAAUAAAAUAUUAACAGAGUGA